GGAGUUGCCAGUUUAUUCACAUCUAGGAGGCCAUGCUGAGGAUACUGUUAGUCCCCUUCAAUCUUUCAGGUCCUGAGCAGGUUUAACUGUUAGCAUCACAAUCCCCUGUUGCCCUAAGGACUCCAUUCUGGGCCUAGAGACUCUUAGGGGACUCUAGCUGGCUUUCUGUGGGUAAAUCAGACAGAUCAAGAGGUAGGUGGGAACAGACUGUUGAUCUCCUCUCCUGGGUUUCUCUGUGCUCAGCAAAUGCCCUCAGGCCAGCCUUGACACAGUAGACAGCUCUCCUGGUUUCCGGAGUCCUCUGAUUGCUGACAAGGGUCUUCACUACCCAUUCUAUUCCGGGAAAUGCCUCAGGACUUUUCAACCACCUGAAAAUGGAGAAGUAAGAGAUCAGUAUUUUGAAGAGGAAGUUUUAAAGACAUACAAAAUAAAAGAUAGAGAUCCUGCAUGCAGUUUACACAUUACAGGAGAGAAACAUGCAACUUUAAAGAAAUUUUAAGUAACAUUUCAUUGUGAAUAUCAAUACGGGGACCUAAUAGGGGAUAAUCCUUGUACAUUUUAAAAUAGCUGAGCAGAAAGCUUUACUUUGGGGAGCAGCAGAUCUAAACUACAGUCAUUGAAAUUUUACAAUGUGUCAUUUAAGAUGUCAGACUUUGUGCCCAGGUUACAUUACAGUUCACUUGUGAUGGGCAGGAUUAUUAAGAGUUAUGGCUAAUUUAUGCGGCAGCAUAUGGUUCUUCUUUUUACAGCUAUUUUUAUUAAACAAGUUUUGCAAAGUUUUAACAUUAAAAUUAACAGCUAAAGAAUUGUUUAUGCAAGUUGCUGUCACAGUUUAUGUAAAAGAGAAAUAUGUGCUAUUAAAAUCAGACAUUUAGGUUACCUUUGGUUUUUUGCGAUGCAUGUUAGCUUUACACAUCCUGAUUCUCUUGCGAUAAUUUUCCUUUAAAAAGGGGGGUAUAGAGUGAUCUCUUUUCAUCAAAACAAGACAUAAUGCCCUGAAAGCUGACUUCAAACCACGGUUGAAAAUUCAGUUAUUUACACUUU
Molecule: long non-coding RNA, 1044 nt
Filed under: Bos taurus (domestic cattle)
Lineage: Eukaryota; Metazoa; Chordata; Mammalia; Artiodactyla; Bovidae
Description: long non-coding RNA NONBTAT011860
Source: RNAcentral